UGAUGUUUCGAGAAAGUGUCACAUUAAUCAGAACAACAACAACAACAACAGUGACAUACUUCAACAUGAACAACAACAACGACCACCCUGGACAUUGUUGGUGGACAGAGGAACGUUUCAUGUCGCCCUUUGGGAGAGAAAUGAGGUCUUCAACAGGGAUCUCCGUCGUUUAAAACCAUCAGAACUGAGAAAUACUACAACAGGAUUUAUAAAUACAACGACAAUCAACUCGUGUGUGGUGGUCAUUAUUAGAGACAUAACUCAAGAAGAGAGAGACAAGAAAUACCAAAGAAUAUGGAAGAACAACAAGGAUUACUAUCUUUGCAAAGACCCCGACAUCUUUGACCCUUAUUAUGUGGAUGUGGUUGAUAUCAAAGAUGGGAAAUGUAAAGAUGAAGUGUGUCGUGGGGAGAUGAGGAGAUCGGGAAGGAUGGAGAGAGAAGAAGGGCGUUGUGUAGGGAAAGAGAGU
This is a long non-coding RNA of Octopus sinensis (East Asian common octopus), 469 nucleotides long. RefSeq lists it as uncharacterized. The record is from RefSeq and is a predicted model, not a curated record. The transcript is spliced from 3 exons. Lineage: Eukaryota; Metazoa; Mollusca; Cephalopoda; Octopoda; Octopodidae.